Molecule: small nucleolar RNA, 66 nt
Organism: Notamacropus eugenii (tammar wallaby)
Lineage: Eukaryota; Metazoa; Chordata; Mammalia; Diprotodontia; Macropodidae
Gene: SNORD104
Product: small nucleolar RNA, C/D box 104
Source: Ensembl
GCCGUGAUGACAACUAUGAAAGCGUGUUAGACUACUGACUACCGUGAAGCGAAUCGGAAUCUGAGC